GAUGAACGCUAGCGGCAGGCCUAACACAUGCAAGUCGAGGGGCAGCACAGAAACAGCAAUGUUUUGGUGGCGACCGGCGGACGGGUGCGUAACGCGUAUGCAACCUACCUUUAACAGGGGGAUAACGGAGAGAAAUUUCCACUAAUACCCCAUAACAUCGAUCAAGGCAUCUUGAUUGGUUGAAAACUCCGGUGGUUAAAGAUGGGCAUGCGUUGAAUUAGGUAGUUGGUGAGGUAAUGGCUCACCAAGCCUACGAUACAUAGGGGGACUGAGAGGUUAGCCCCCCACACUGGUACUGAGACACAGACCAGACUCCUACGGGAGGCAGCAGUGAGGAAUAUUGGUCAAUGGGGGCAACCCUGAACCAGCCAUGCCACGUGCAGGAAGACGGCUCUAUGAGUUGUAAACUGCUUUUAAACAGGGAUAAAGCACAGUAUGUAUACUGUGUUGAAGGUACUGUAAGAAUAAGGAUCGGCUAACUCCGUGCCAGCCGCCGCCGUAA
Molecule: ribosomal RNA, 502 nt
Filed under: uncultured bacterium
Lineage: Bacteria
Description: partial 16S ribosomal RNA
Rfam family: Bacterial small subunit ribosomal RNA
Source: RNAcentral